UGGGGAAUUUUGGACAAUGGGCGCAAGCCUGAUCCAGCCAUGCCGCGUGUGGGAAGAAGGCCUUCGGGUUGUAAACCACUUUUGUCAGGGAAGAAACGGCCUGAUCUAAUACAUUGGGUUAAUGACGGUACCUGAAGAAUAAGCACCGGCUAACUACGUGCCAGCAGCCGCGGUAAUACGUAGGGUGCGAGCGUUAAUCGGAAUUACUGGGCGUAAAGCGUGCGCAGGCGGCUUUGCAAGACAGAUGUGAAAUCCCCGGGCUCAACCUGGGAACUGCAUUUGUGACUGCAAGGCUAGAGUACGGUAGAGGGGGAUGGAAUUCCGCGUGUAGCAGUGAAAUGCGUAGAUAUGCGGAGGAACACCGAUGGCGAAGGCAAUCCCCUGGACCUGUACUGACGCUCAUGCACGAAAGCGUGGGGAGCAAACAGGAUUAGAUACCCUAGUAGUCCCUGAGCGGGCUGGCAAGGCGCAU
This 472-nucleotide ribosomal RNA is filed under the name uncultured bacterium. RNAcentral describes it as "bacterial SSU rRNA". It matches the Rfam family "Bacterial small subunit ribosomal RNA", at positions 355 to 825 of the family's 1533-position model. The record is from RNAcentral.